Molecule: ribosomal RNA, 569 nt
Filed under: Psalidodon cremnobates
Lineage: Eukaryota; Metazoa; Chordata; Actinopteri; Characiformes; Acestrorhamphidae
Description: partial 16S ribosomal RNA
Rfam family: Bacterial large subunit ribosomal RNA
Source: RNAcentral
CGCCUCCUGCAAAAAUCAAUGUAUAGGAGGUCCUGCCUGCCCAGUGACUAAAUUAAACGGCCGCGGUAUUUUGACCGUGCAAAGGUAGCGCAAUCACUUGUUUUUUAAAUAAAGACCUGUAUGAAUGGUGAAACGAGGGCUUAACUGUCUCCUUUUUCUGAUCAGUGAAAUUGAUCUACCCGUGCAGAAGCGGGUAUAAAAAUACAAGACGAGAAGACCCUAUGGAGCUUAAGACAGAAAUCAACUAUGUUAAAAACCCCUAUUAAGGGAGCAAAACAAAACAGCAACUGAUUAACGUCUUCGGUUGGGGCGACUACGGGGGAAAACCAAUCCCCCACGUGGAAUAGAACACAUUUCUAAAACCAUGAGACACACCUCUAAGUCACAGAACUUCUGACCAAAUGAUCCGGCAACCAGCCGAUCAACGAACCAAGUUACCCUAGGGAUAACAGCGCAAUCCCCUCCAAGAGUCCAUAUCGACAAGGGGGUUUACGACCUCGAUGUUGGAUCAGGACAUCCUAAUGGUGCAGCCGCUAUUAAGGGUUCGUUUGUUCAACGAUUAAAGUCCU